UGAAAUAUGGUUUGGGAUGUUCUCAUAGGAUUUUGGGAGACAGGGUUCAUACACCUGCAAGCCAGGAUAAGGCCGACAUAGAUGCACUACAAUUCAAGAUGACCGCUUUAUUGUCAGCAACAUGUUAAGAAAUCCCCUUUGCACUGCUCCUAAAGCUCGUGCGCGUCUUUUUGAGGUGAUAAAUAGUGUGAGUGAACGUACCAUUAGAAGAAGACUGGCAGAAAGAUAUUUGAGGGCUUUCCGUCCAGCUCGCGCCACACAACUUAUAACGGUCCGAAAUUCGUUGUAUUUCUGCUCCAACCCUGUAUACCAAAGUUAUUUGAAAUUUCAAUCUAGUUUACAUUUGUAACACUUUCGCUACGCCCUGUAUAUUGAAUCGAAGAAUCGUAGUUCCUAACAGAUCUUUCGUAUGACUUGAUUCACUUCUCACGAUGUUGGAUGUUUGUUUCGUUGAUCGUACGAUUCUCUGAAAUUUGGCGUAGAUAUCUAAAGUACCCCAAAUUGUUUAUAUUCUACAGAGGAGGCGACAAUGCUUCAAACAGGUUUUGAUGGUUUUCGGAGGAGAUCAUAAAUUCUCUAAUAAUGUAUUUCUGCCGGCUUUGAGACUGAAAAGUGUUUAUAUUAUAGAGAUAAUAGCUUUGAGUAAACAACAAGUGUUACCCAUUGAGCACACGUGCGAAAUUGCUGACUUAAGUGUUUUUCGUGGGAAUAACAUUCUCUAUUAGAGCCCAGAAAAAAUCGCUUACCGAUUAUGGAAGGUUUCUUAUUGGUGGAGAAAUUUUGCAUGGCGUCAAAUUAGGGGUUUGGCGUAGUAUGAUUUUGGUUUCCUUAUUGGUUGAGAUUGGAUUAUGAGCGUUUUGAAUCUGUAAUUGGUCGAUGGGAUGGAUCCUGUGAUGAUUUUGCAAAGGGCAUUUUGGUUAGAGUUUGAGAAGAUCAAGUUAGGGAGUUCUGUUGGGUCCGUCACCAAGAAGAGUUCUAAAGUCUAGUUUGGAGUUGCAGUGACGUUAAAAUGUAGUUACCAGUUCUCAGGCCGGCGGAGAACUCAGCGCGGCGAUGCAGUGUGGUGUGAUAAAUGGAACUCCGGCAAUUUUCGUUGCUGUCAAGCGAAUUGUCGAUAAUUUAUAAAUACCAUUUUUGGUAUUCCUUUUUUUAUGCAGUCAGAUCCAGGGAUUAUGCAGAAUUCUUUUCGUGUUCAAAUACCCUAGUUAAAGCGAAGUUUGCUUUCAUUUUAGUAUUUUUGAUCCAGUUUAAUGAACUAGAUCAGCGGUUCUCAAUCUGUGGUACAUGUACCACUGGUGGUACAUAUCAUUAUUUGAGGUGGUACACAAAACGCAAAAAUAGCCAAAAUCAGCACCAAUAUUAUAGUUAAUUAGAUCACCAUGGUAGAUAGGUAUUUCAGUUAGGUGGUGCCAAAAAUAUUAAAAAAAUAUUUGGUGGUACAUGACUCAAAAAGAUUGAGAACCGCUGAACUAGAUAACAAGAUUGUUUUAAAUAUUUUUGUUCGAGUACCUAAGUGCUAAUUUUCUAUAUAAAUUUUUUUUACGAACUAUGGUUCAUCAAAUAUGUACUGUUGCUGUAUCUAUUAAUAUUGUGGAGUGACUUUUGUGAUGUGAAAUCGCGCCUUGGACAACCACAGGAAGAUUCAAGGACAAUGAUUACAAGGAUUAGUCUCUACUCCCAUUCAGGAAGAAUCAGUUUCUGGAAAAUCUUAAAUAUAGUGUAAAAAAACAAGAAAAUCGAGCGGGAUGCAUAUCAGGAUGUUUAUGAGUUGUCAACCAGAUGAAUAAGAAUAUUAUAUUAGAUGGGUCCAUAUAUACAGGGUGUUUGGUAACGAAUGGGACAUAGCUUAACCUUUUAUUCCUGAGCUUAAAAUAGGUCGAUUUAAACUAACUUAUCUUUGUACGAAAGUUAAUAACUAAAAUACAGGGUGUCAAAGUUA
Long non-coding RNA from Diabrotica virgifera virgifera (western corn rootworm), 1939 nucleotides. RefSeq lists it as uncharacterized. The transcript is spliced from 2 exons. The record is from RefSeq and is a predicted model, not a curated record. NCBI's taxonomy places the organism in Eukaryota, Metazoa, Arthropoda, Insecta, Coleoptera, Chrysomelidae.